GGAUUAGAAACCCUGGUAGUCCUUACCGUAAACUAUGUAUACUUGGUGUAACCGGACUCAACCCUGGUUGUGCCGUAGCUAACGCGAUAAGUAUACCGCCUGGGGAGUACGCUCGCAAGGGUGAAACUCAAAAGAAUUGACGGGGACCCGCACAAGCAGUGGAGCAUGUGGUUUAAUUCGAUGCAACGCGAAGAACCUUACCCAGGCUUGACAUACAGUGGACAGUAGUGGAAACACUACCUCUCUUCGGAGCCGCUGAACAGGUGCUGCAUGGCUGUCGUCAGCUCGUGCCGUGAGGUGUUUGGUUAAGUCCAGCAACGAGCGCAACCCUUAUCACUAGUUGCCAACACGUAAUGGUGGGAACUCUAGUGAGACUGCCUGGGUUAACCAGGAG
This 394-nucleotide ribosomal RNA is filed under the name uncultured bacterium. Its description in RNAcentral is "bacterial SSU rRNA". It matches the Rfam family "Bacterial small subunit ribosomal RNA", at positions 775 to 1168 of the family's 1533-position model. The record is from RNAcentral.